RNAcentral lists this ribosomal RNA (273 nucleotides) under uncultured prokaryote. Its description in RNAcentral is "partial 16S ribosomal RNA". It matches the Rfam family "Bacterial small subunit ribosomal RNA", at positions 524 to 798 of the family's 1533-position model. The record is from RNAcentral.
UACGUAGGGGCUAGCGUUAUCCGGAAUUACUGGGCGUAAAGGGUGCGUAGGUGGUUUCUUAAGUCAGAGGUGAAAGGCUACGGCUCAACCGUAGUAAGCCUUUGAAACUGGGAAACUUGAGUGCAGGAGAGGAGAGUGGAAUUCCAUGUGUAGCGGUGAAAUGCGUAGAUAUAUGGAGGAACACCAGUGGCGAAGGCGACUCUCUGGUCUGUAACUGACGCUGAGGCUCGAAAGCGUGGGGAGCAAACAGGAUUAGAUACCCUCGUAGUCCCU